RNAcentral lists this long non-coding RNA (1166 nucleotides) under Zostera marina. RNAcentral's name for it is "long non-coding RNA (ZMAR_LNC000104)". Lineage: Eukaryota; Viridiplantae; Streptophyta; Magnoliopsida; Alismatales; Zosteraceae. The record is from RNAcentral.
UCAGUAUAAUCAAGUCACAAGCUUCCCUCCUUCUCUUUUUCUGAGCGACAACAGACUGAACGGUUCGAUCUGGCCGGAGUUCGGCGAUCUUCGGAAGCUCCAGGUUUUAGAUUUCAGUGCGAACAAUCUUACAGGAAACAUACCUGAUGAGUUAUCAAAGAUGUCAAAUUUAGAAACCGUGGAGUUAUUCAACAACAAUCUAACAGGAGAAAUACCAUCGUCUCUGACGAAAUUGAAUUUCUUAUCGAAAUUCAACGUGUCACACAACAAUCUUUCCGGUCCGAUCCCUACCGGCGGCCAAUUCCUGACCUUCGACGAUACGAGUUUCGCCGGGAAUCCUGAUCUGUGCGGCGACCGUUCGUCUCUUCCUCCCUGUGACAAUAACAAUAACAAUAACAAUACCGAUAACAAAGUCAGAAGCAGUUACGACGGCGUUAAAUCGGAAAAGAAGAAAAACAAAAUCAUCAUCGGCGUGGUGAGUGGAAUAAGCAUCGGAACCGGUUUGAUUUCAAUUUUCGUGAUCGUUUGUUUGUUUGUGAAAAGAGCACAAUCGCAUUCCGGAAGAAUACAAGUUCUGGAGACAGAGAUCCAAGAAGCUGUGGAUUCAGCAACAGCAGUAGCAGGAGAAGCAGUUGUUGUAUUUGAAAACACUCCGUUAACCAUCGCCGACAUAUUGAAAUCCACCGGCAAUUUCGACGAAGCUAACAUAAUAGGAUGCGGCGGAUUUGGGCUUGUUUACAAGGCGACGUUGGCAAACGGACAGAAGAUGGCGAUAAAACGAUUAUCAGGUGAUUUUGGACAGAUGGAACGAGAAUUCCGAGCAGAAAUCGAUACCUUAUCAAGAGCUCUGCAUCAAAACCUAGUCGUUCUUCAAGGUUACUGUAGAAUGGCAAGUGUUCGGAUUCUGAUGUAUUCCUAUAUGGAGAACGGAAGCUUGGAUUUCUGGCUCCACGAGAACAACAACGACGAUGACAACAGAUCAAGGAAUUUUUUGGAUUGGGGAAUGAGAUUGGAGAUAGCCAAAGGAGCAUCAAAAGGUUUGGAAUAUCUUCACCUGAAUUGCCAACCACACAUCAUCCACCGCGAUAUCAAAUCAAGCAACAUUUUGCUAGAUCAAAAUUUCAAGGCUCAUCUUGCAGAUUUCGGAUUAGCGAGACUGAUCAAAC